RNAcentral lists this ribosomal RNA (253 nucleotides) under uncultured bacterium. RNAcentral's name for it is "partial 16S ribosomal RNA". It matches the Rfam family "Bacterial small subunit ribosomal RNA", at positions 524 to 776 of the family's 1533-position model. The record is from RNAcentral.
UACGUAGGGUGCGAGCGUUAAUCGGAAUUACUGGGCGUAAAGCGUGCGCAGGCGGUUUUGUAAGCCAGAUGUGAAAUCCCCGGGCUUAACCUGGGAACGGCAUUUGGGACUGCAAGGCUUGAGUGCGGCAGAGGAGACUGGAAUUCCUGGUGUAGCAGUGAAAUGCGUAGAUAUCAGGAGGAAUACCGGAGGCGAAGGCGGCUAUCUGGCCUAACACUGACACUCAGACCCGAAAGCGUGGGGAUCAAACAGG